This 1454-nucleotide ribosomal RNA is filed under the name Rothia dentocariosa. Its description in RNAcentral is "bacterial SSU rRNA". It matches the Rfam family "Bacterial small subunit ribosomal RNA". The record is from RNAcentral. Lineage: Bacteria; Bacillati; Actinomycetota; Actinomycetes; Micrococcales; Micrococcaceae.
UAGAUGCGCUCUAMCAUGCAGUCGACGAUGAAGCCUAGCUUGCUAGGUGGAUUAGUGGCGAACGGGUGAGUAAUACGUGAGUGACCUACCUUUGACUCUGGGAUAAGCCUGGGAAACUGGGUCUAAUACCGGAUAYGACCAAUCUCCGCAUGGGGUGUUGGUGGAAAGCGUUAUGGAGUGGUUUUAGAUGGGCUCACGGCCUAUCAGCUUGUUGGUGAGGUAAUGGCUUACCAAGGCGACGACGGGUAGCCGGCCUGAGAGGGUGACCGGCCACACUGGGACUGAGACACGGCCCARACUCCUACGGGAGGCAGCAGUGGGGAAUAUUGCACAAUGGGCGCAAGCCUGAUGCAGCGACGCCGCGUGAGGGAUGACGGCCUUCGGGUUGUAAACCUCUGUUAGCAUCGAARAAGCGAAAGUGACGGUAGGUGCAGAGAAAGCGCCGGCUAACUACGUGCCAGCAGCCGCGGUAAUACGUAGGGCGCGAGCGUUGUCCGGAAUUAUUGGGCGUAAAGAGCUUGUAGGCGGUUGGUCGCGUCUGCUGUGAAAGGCUGGGGCUUAACCCUGGUUUUGCAGUGGGUACGGGCUAACUAGAGUGCAGUAGGGGAGACUGGAAUUCCUGGUGUAGCGGUGGAAUGCGCAGAUAUCAGGAGGAACACCGAUGGCGAAGGCAGGUCUCUGGGCUGUAACUGACGCUGAGAAGCGAAAGCAUGGGGAGCGAACAGGAUUAGAUACCCUGGUAGUCCAUGCCGUAAACGUUGGGCACUAGGUGUGGGGGACAUUCCACGUUUUCCGCGCCGUAGCUAACGCAUUAAGUGCCCCGCCUGGGGAGUACGGCCGCAAGGCUAAAACUCAAAGAAAUUGACGGGGGCCCGCACAAGCGGCGGAGCAUGCGGAUUAAUUCGAUGCAACGCGAAGAACCUUACCAAGGCUUGACAUAUACUGGACUGCGUCAGAGAUGGCGUUUCCCUUCGGGGCUGGUAUACAGGUGGUGCAUGGUUGUCGUCAGCUCGUGUCGUGAGAUGUUGGGUUAAGUCCCGCAACGAGCGCAACCCUCGUUCUAUGUUGCCAGCACGUGAUGGUGGGGGACUCAUAGGAGACUGCCGGGGUCAACUCGGAGGAAGGUGGGGAUGACGUCAAAUCAUCAUGCCCCUUAUGUCUUGGGCUUCACGCAUGCUACAAUGGCCGGUACAGAGGGUUGCGAUACUGUGAGGUGGAGCUAAUCCCUAAAAGCCGGUCUCAGUUCGGAUUGGGGUCUGCAACUCGACCCCAUGAAGUCGGAGUCGCUAGUAAUCGCAGAUCAGCAACGCUGCGGUGAAUACGUUCCCGGGCCUUGUACACACCGCCCGUCAAGUCACGAAAGUUGGUAACACCCGAAGCCGGUGGCCUAACCCUGGUGGGGGGAGCCGUCGAAGGUGGGACUGGCGAUUGGACUAAGUCGUAUCACGUUUUGC